Molecule: long non-coding RNA, 238 nt
Organism: Symphalangus syndactylus (siamang)
Lineage: Eukaryota; Metazoa; Chordata; Mammalia; Primates; Hylobatidae
Source: RefSeq, a predicted model, not a curated record
AUUACACGUGUGAGCCACUGUGCCAGGCUGGUAAUCUGUGGUUUUUUUUUUUGGCAAAUAUCUUCCUUAUUUAAAGUGUUGGUGAAGAAAGCAAAUUCUAGUAUCUUUCAGAGAAUAUAAUAAGCUCAACCAUUGUGGAAGACAGUGUGGCGAUUCCUCAAGGAUCUAGAACCAGAAAUAUCAUUUGACCCAGCAAUCCCAUUACUGGCUCCCUCCACAUAAGUAUCUCACGUUCGGC